CCUACGGGUGGCAGCAGUGGGGAAUAUUGCACAAUGGGGGAAACCCUGAUGCAGCGACGCCGCGUGAAGGAAGAAGUAUUUCUGUAUGUAAACUUCUAUCAGCAGGGAAGAAAAUGACGGUACCUGACUAAGAAGCCCCGUCUAACUACGUGCCGGCAGCCGGGGUAAUACGUAGGGGGCAAGCGUUAUCCGGAUUUACUGGGUGUAAAGGGAGCGUAGGCGGUUUAGCAAUUCAGAAGUGAAAGCCCGGGGCUCAACUCCGGGACUGCUUUUGAAACUGUUGGACUCGAUUGCAGGAGAGGUAAGUGGAAUUCGCGGUGUAGCGGUGAAAUGCGUAGAUAUUAGGAGGAACACCAGUGGCGAAGGCGGCUUACUGGACUGUAAAUGACGCUGAGGCUCGAAAGCGUGGGGAGCGAACAGGAUUAGAUACCCGAGUAGUC
This 440-nucleotide ribosomal RNA is filed under the name uncultured bacterium. RNAcentral's name for it is "partial 16S ribosomal RNA". It matches the Rfam family "Bacterial small subunit ribosomal RNA", at positions 338 to 795 of the family's 1533-position model. The record is from RNAcentral.